CCUACGGGCGGCUGCAGUGAGGAAUAUUGGUCAAUGGGCGAGAGCCUGAACCAGCCAAGUCGCGUGAGGGAGUACUGCCCUAUGGGUUGUAAACCUCUUUUGUCGGGGAGCAAAAGCCGGACGUGUCCGGCUGUUAGAGUACCCGAAGAAAAAGCAUCGGCUAACCCCGUGCCAGCAGCCGCGGUAAUACGGAGGAUGCGAGCGUUAGCCGGAUUUAUUGGGUUUAAAGGGUGCGCAGGCGGAUUGUUAAGUCAGCGGUCAAAUCGUGGGGCUCAACCCCAUCCAGCCGUUGAAACUGGGGAUCUAGAGUGUGCGAGAGGUAUGCGGAAUGCGUGGUGUAGCGGUGAAAUGCAUAGAUAUCACGCAGAACCCCGAUUGCGAAGGCAGCAUACCGGUGCACAACUGACGCUCAGGCACGAAAGCGUGGGUAUCGAACAGGAUUAGAUACCCUAGUAGUC
Molecule: ribosomal RNA, 458 nt
Filed under: uncultured bacterium
Lineage: Bacteria
Description: partial 16S ribosomal RNA
Rfam family: Bacterial small subunit ribosomal RNA
Source: RNAcentral